CGCGGCCUAUCAGCUUGUUGGUGGGGUAGUGGCUUACCAAGGCUUUGACGGGUAGCCGGCCUGAGAGGGUGACCGGCCACAUUGGGACUGAGAUACGGCCCAGACUCCUACGGGAGGCAGCAGUGGGGAAUAUUGCACAAUGGGCGGAAGCCUGAUGCAGCAACGCCGCGUGCGGGAUGACGGCCUUCGGGUUGUAAACCGCUUUCGCCUGUGACGAAGCGUGAGUGACGGUAAUGGGUAAAGAAGCACCGGCUAACUACGUGCCAGCAGCCGCGGUGAUGCGUAGGGUGCGAGCGUUGUCCGGAUUUAUUGGGCGUAAAGGGCUCGUAGGUGGUUGAUCGCGUCGGAAGUGUAAUCUUGGGGCUUAACCCUGAGCGUGCUUUCGAUACGGGUUGACUUGAGGAAGGUAGGGGAGAAUGGAAUUCCUGGUGGAGCGGUGGAAUGCGCAGAUAUCAGGAGGAACACCAGUGGCGAAGGCGGUUCUCUGGGCCUUUCCUGACGCUGAGGAGCGAAAGCGUGGGGAGCGAACAGGCUUAGAUACCCUGGUAGUCCACGCUGUAAACGGUGGGUACUAGGUGUGGGGUCCAUUCCACGGGUUCCGCGCCGUAGCUAACGCUUUAAGUACCCCGCCUGGGGAGUACGG
This 643-nucleotide ribosomal RNA is filed under the name uncultured bacterium. RNAcentral's name for it is "bacterial SSU rRNA". It matches the Rfam family "Bacterial small subunit ribosomal RNA", at positions 232 to 885 of the family's 1533-position model. The record is from RNAcentral.